This 273-nucleotide ribosomal RNA is filed under the name uncultured bacterium. RNAcentral's name for it is "partial 16S ribosomal RNA". It matches the Rfam family "Bacterial small subunit ribosomal RNA", at positions 85 to 354 of the family's 1533-position model. The record is from RNAcentral.
CCGCCGGCGACCGGCGCACGGGUGAGUAACACGUAUGCAACCUGGCCGUGACAGAUGGAUAACCGGGAGAAAUCCCGCCUAAUACAACAUAAUGCCGGGAGGGGACAUCCCCUGCCGGCCAAAGGGGCGACCCCGGUCACGGAUGGGCAUGCGGCGCAUUAGGUAGUUGGUGGGGCAACGGCCCACCAAGCCGACGAUGCGUAGGGGUUCUGAGAGGAAGGUCCCCCACCAUUGGAACUGAGACACGGUCCAAACUCCUACGGGAGGCAGCAG